This 548-nucleotide ribosomal RNA is filed under the name uncultured bacterium. RNAcentral describes it as "bacterial SSU rRNA". It matches the Rfam family "Bacterial small subunit ribosomal RNA", at positions 774 to 1319 of the family's 1533-position model. The record is from RNAcentral.
AGUAAAUAGAUACCCAGGUAGUCCACGCCGUAAACGAUGAGUGCUAAGUGUUGGGGGGUUUCCGCCCCUCAGUGCUGCAGCUAAACGCAUUAAGCACUCCGCCUGGGGAGUACGGUCGCAAGACUGAAACUCAAAGGAAUUGACGGGGGCCCGCACAAGCGGUGGAGCAUGUGGUUUAAUUCGAAGCAACGCGAAGAACCUUACCAGGUCUUGACAUCCCGGUGACCACUAUGGAGACAUAGUUUCCCCUUCGGGGGCAACGGUGACAGGUGGUGCAUGGUUGUCGUCAGCUCGUGUCGUGAGAUGUUGGGUUAAGUCCCGCAACGAGCGCAACCCUUAUUCUUAGUUGCCAUCAUUCAGUUGGGCACUCUAAGGAGACUGCCGGUGAUAAACCGGAGGAAGGUGGGGAUGACGUCAAAUCAUCAUGCCCCUUAUGACCUGGGCUACACACGUGCUACAAUGGACGGUACAAACGGUUGCCAACCCGCGAGGGGAGCUAAUCCGAUAAAACCGUUCUCAGUUCGGAUUGUAGGCUGCAACUCGCCUAC